GGAAUAUAAGAACCCGUCUCUUAACUUUUAAUUAAAAAAAUUAAGAACUGGUUCUUAAAACUCUUAUUUAAGAACUGAUUCUUAAAACUCUUAUUUAAAAACUGAUUCUUAACUUUUUUAGUUAAAAAUUAAGAGACGAGUUCUUAUAUUCC
Non-coding RNA from Brassica napus (rape), 152 nucleotides. Lineage: Eukaryota; Viridiplantae; Streptophyta; Magnoliopsida; Brassicales; Brassicaceae. The record is from Rfam.